UACAAUAUGCUAAAGACUACUAUACAAGAUAUUGAAUUAAAAAAAUAAAAAAAUUUCAGAACCGCCAGAACCUGAAUCGCCAGAACCGGAAUCGCAUGGUACCUGAAACCGUCACGGGCUGGUUCCACCUUCAGAUCCGCCAGAAUCGGAACCGCAUGGUACCUGAUACCGUCACGGGCUGGUUCCACCUUCAGAUCCGCCAGAAUCGGAACUGCCAGAACCGGAACGCCAGACCCAAAUAGACCCAGAUUCGGAAACCGGAUACAGACUUAACUCUUAGUGAAAAUUUCCAGUUUGUUGUUCGUGUUCGCAGAUAUGAUGCAAGGAAUAAUAGACUUACAUCACGAUUUCCUCAUUCUGAUUUUGGUUUUCGUAUCAUGGAUCUUGGUUCGCACUUUAUGUUAUUUCUACUAUAAUAAAUUGAGAAAUUCAUGGGUAAGAUUGAGAAAACUUGGGCCACUUCCAUAAUUUUGCUCUUAACUGCGCAGGAAUA
This 493-nucleotide long non-coding RNA is filed under the name Nicotiana benthamiana. RNAcentral describes it as "long non-coding RNA (NBEN_LNC011891)". Lineage: Eukaryota; Viridiplantae; Streptophyta; Magnoliopsida; Solanales; Solanaceae. The record is from RNAcentral.